Molecule: ribosomal RNA, 254 nt
Filed under: uncultured bacterium
Lineage: Bacteria
Description: partial 16S ribosomal RNA
Rfam family: Bacterial small subunit ribosomal RNA
Source: RNAcentral
UACGUAGGCAGCGAGCGUUGUUCGGAGUUACUGGGCGUAAAGGGUGUGUAGGCGGUUGUUUAAGUUUGGUGUGAAAUCUCCCGGCUCAACUGGGAGGGUGCGCCGAAUACUGAAUGACUUGGAGUGCGGGAGAGGUGAGUGGAAUUCCUGGUGCAGCGGUGAAAUGCGUAGAUAUUGGGAGGAACACCAGUGGCGAAGGCGGCUCACUGGACCGGAACUGACGCUGAGGCGCGAAAGCGUGGGGAGCGAACAGG